This 220-nucleotide ribosomal RNA is filed under the name Acinetobacter baumannii. Its description in RNAcentral is "partial 23S ribosomal RNA". It matches the Rfam family "Bacterial large subunit ribosomal RNA", at positions 2723 to 2925 of the family's 2925-position model. Lineage: Bacteria; Pseudomonadati; Pseudomonadota; Gammaproteobacteria; Moraxellales; Moraxellaceae. RNAcentral also lists the same sequence under 1 other name. The record is from RNAcentral.
GUCAUGCCAAUGGCACUGCCCGGUAGCUAAAUGCGGAAGAGAUAAGUGCUGAAAGCAUCUAAGCACGAAACUUGCCCCGAGAUGAGUUCUCCCUGAGACUUUAAGUCUCCUGAAGGAACGUUAAAGACGAUGACGUUGAUAGGCCGGGUGUGUAAGCGCAGCGAUGCGUUGAGCUAACCGGUACUAAUGAACCGUGAGGCUUAACCUUACAACGCCGAAG